AACGAACGCUGGCGGCAUGCCUAACACAUGCAAGUCGAACGAGACCUUCGGGUCUAGUGGCGCACGGGUGCGUAACGCGUGGGAACCUGCCCUUAGGUUCGGAAUAACUCCCCGAAAGGGGUGCUAAUACCGGUUAAUGUCUUCGGACCAAAGAUUUAUCGCCUUUGGAUGGGCCCGCGUUGGCUUAGCUAGUUGGUAGGGUAAAAGCCUACCAAGGCGACGAUCCAUAGCUGGUCUGAGAGGAUGAUCAGCCACACUGGGGCUGAGACACGGCCCAGACUGCGACGGGAGGCAGGAGUAGAGAAUAUUGGACGAUGAGCGAAGACCUGAUCCAGCAAUGCGGGGGGAGUGAUGAAGGCCUUAGUGUUGUGAAGCUCUUUUACCCGGGAUGAUAGUGACAGUACCGGGUGAAUAAGCACCGGCUAACUCCGUG
This 433-nucleotide ribosomal RNA is filed under the name uncultured bacterium. Its description in RNAcentral is "partial 16S ribosomal RNA". It matches the Rfam family "Bacterial small subunit ribosomal RNA", at positions 29 to 507 of the family's 1533-position model. The record is from RNAcentral.